Molecule: ribosomal RNA, 497 nt
Filed under: uncultured bacterium
Lineage: Bacteria
Description: partial 16S ribosomal RNA
Rfam family: Bacterial small subunit ribosomal RNA
Source: RNAcentral
GAUGAACGCUGGCGGCGUGCCUAAUACAUGCAAGUCGAGCGAACAGACGAGGAGCUUGCUCCUCUGACGUUAGCGGCGGACGGGUGAGUAACACGUGGAUAACCUACCUAUAAGACUGGGAUAACUUCGGGAAACCGGAGCUAAUACCGGAUAAUAUAUUGAACCGCAUGGUUCAAUAGUGAAAGACGGUUUUGCUGUCACUUAUAGAUGGAUCCGCGCCGCAUUAGCUAGUUGGUAAGGUAACGGCUUACCAAGGCAACGAUGCGUAGCCGACCUGAGAGGGUGAUCGGCCACACUGGAACUGAGACACGGUCCAGACUCCUACGGGAGGCAGCAGUAGGGAAUCUUCCGCAAUGGGCGAAAGCCUGACGGGGCAACGCCGCGUGUGUGAUGAAGGUCUUCGGAUCGUAAAACUCUGUUAUUAGGGAAGAACAAAUGUGUAAGUAACUAUGCACGUCUUGACGGUACCUAAUCAGAAAGCCCCGGCUAACUACGUG